GACGAACGCUGGCGGCGUGCCUAAUACAUGCAAGUCGAACGCAGUGGGGACGGGUGAGUAACACGUGGGUAACCUCCCAUCAGAGGGGAUACCACUUGGAAACAGGUGCUAAACCGAUACUGAUGGAUGGACCCGCGGUGCAUUUGCUAGUUGGUGAGGUAACGGCUCACCAAGGGCAAGAUGCAUAGCCGGCUCGAUAGGGUGAUCGGCCACACUGAAACUGAGACACGGCCCAGACGCCUACGGGAGGCAGCAGUGGGGAAGCUUCGGCAAUGGACGAAAGUCUGACCGAGAAACGCGGCGUGAGGGAAGAAGGUUUUCGGAUCGUAAACCACUGUUGUUAGAGAAGCGGUAUCUAACCAGAAAGCCACGGCUAACUACGUGCCAGCAGCCGCGGUAAUAC
Molecule: ribosomal RNA, 403 nt
Filed under: uncultured bacterium
Lineage: Bacteria
Description: partial 16S ribosomal RNA
Rfam family: Bacterial small subunit ribosomal RNA
Source: RNAcentral